RNAcentral lists this ribosomal RNA (253 nucleotides) under uncultured bacterium. RNAcentral's name for it is "partial 16S ribosomal RNA". It matches the Rfam family "Bacterial small subunit ribosomal RNA", at positions 524 to 776 of the family's 1533-position model. The record is from RNAcentral.
UACGUAGGGUGCGAGCGUUACUCGGAAUUACUGGGCGUAAAGCGUGCGCAGGCGGUUUGUUAAGGCAGAUGUGAAAUCCCCGGGCUUAACCUGGGAACUGCAUUUGUGACUGGCAAGCUAGAGUAUGGCAGAGGGGGGUAGAAUUCCACGUGUAGCAGUGAAAUGCGUAGAGAUGUGGAGGAAUACCGAUGGCGAAGGCAGCCCCCUGGGCCAAUACUGACGCUCAUGCACGAAAGCGUGGGGAGCAAACAGG